GGGAGCACCCCGCUUGGCUGCUACCAGAAGCUGAUUGAGUACUAUAAGAAUGGGGACCUGUCCUUUCAAUAUGUGAAAACCUUCAACAUGGACGAGUAUGUGGGUCUUCCUCGAGACCACCCAGAGAGUUACCACUCCUUCAUGUGGAAUAAUUUCUUCAAGCACAUUGACAUCCACCCCGAAAACACCCACAUUUUGGAUGGAAAUGCGGCUGACCUGCAGGCCGAGUGUGAUGCCUUUGAGGAGAAGAUCCAGGCUGCCGGAGGGAUCGAACUCUUUGUCGGAGGCAUUGGCCCCGAUGGACACAUUGCCUUCAAUGAGCCAGGCUCCAGCCUGGUGUCCAGGACCCGUGUGAAGACUCUGGCUAUGGACACCAUCCUGGCCAACGCUAGGUUCUUUGAUGGUGAUCUUGCCAAGGUGCCCACCAUGGCCCUAACAGUGGGGGUCGGCACUGUCAUGGAUGCUAAAGAGGUGAUGAUCCUCAUCACAGGCGCUCACAAGGCCUUCGCUCUGUACAAAGCCAUCGAGGAGGGUGUGAACCACAUGUGGACGGUGUCCGCCUUUCAGCAGCACCCCCGCACUGUGUUUGUGUGUGACGAGGACGCCACCUUGGAACUAAAAGUGAAGACAGUCAAAUAUUUCAAAGGUUUAAUGCUUGUUCAUAACAAGCUGGUGGACCCCCUGUACAGUAUCAAGGAGAAGGAAAUUCAGAAAAGCCAAUCUGCUAAGAAGCCAUACAGUGACUAGCCUGUGACCGACAUGGUAUUCAGUACCUCAGAGGGACAGGCAGGUCUUUCCGGAAAGUCUCUGUAGGAGAGAGAGUAGAAUUACUUUUUAGUCCACUCUGGCUGCUGCAGAUCUGAGGCUUGGUAUAUACAUGUUAAGGAGUUUGGCUAUGGAGAACAUUGUUGAUUAUAAUUUUCUCCUUCUUUUUUCAGUACUGGGGGCUGAACCUGGGGCCUUGCACAUGCCAAGGAGGUGCCUUGCUAACUGAGCUAUGUCCCCAACUUUCUGCCCCUUUUCAUAAUGGUUUUGUAACCAUCCGAAGUCUCCAUCACUGACUGUAAUUAUAUUCUUCUGCCCCUAUGCACAUGGGCAGCACACGCCCGUCGAGAACUCCUGUCUGUAUGUGUGCUUUUUCUAGAGUUGGCAGGGAUUAGGGCUUGUGCACUUUGGACAUAACCUUUCUGGAGACUUGAGAUCCCCUCUUCUGCCAGCCUUCCCACUGAGAAUUUUCAUUUUAAAGAAUACACUUCCAGAACUUGAAUUAUGCACAAGGAAGCAGCCCUUCCUGCCAGAACCAAGAACCUGGGGGAGAAGCCUGUCCCUUGUUCCCAUUGUGUGGAUUGUCUUUCCUGUUGUCAGUAGCUAGCCUUUCUGUAAACAGGCCUUCUGGGCAUGUGGGGCUAAGAUGGCUUUCACAGGUAAACUCAAAGCUUCCAAAGGCCAGCCUUGUCUUGUUCUCUCUCAAGAUUCCAACAAGAGAAAAGUGGAAAGGCCUCCUGCCUGAGCUCUGUUUUCCUCAACAGAUUCUUACACACUCCCUAGUAAGGAGAUCCGCGUGGGUCACAGACACGCUAUGAUUUCAGUGUUUUUACCCAAGGUGGGGAGCUGACAUCUGCACAUGCGCUGUGCUCUGCGGCCUCCUCAGAGCUGAGUGCCAAGAUUAUACACGCUACUGCUCUCUCCUCGCUUAACUCACCCCAGCACUCCCACCUUCGGGUUUAUAUCCUCUGUCCUCAGCAUCAGAACUAAACCCUUCACCCCCCUGUCCUUCAGGCUCCCUUCCCAGGCUCCUCUGCUUGGCCUUGCUUUAUCUUCUCUGCCUCUGUGGAGUAGUCGCUGCCUCCUUCUCCGUCCUUGUGCCUGUCUGAAGCUAGAGCUGCCUAUUUCCAGGAGAGGUCUUUCAGAACAUUGCCCAGGCCCCUCCAGAAGUACUGUGUUUGGUACCAGCAUUUGUUUGUAGUUUUUAUAUGUGAUUGUGCUAUUGUUCUGUGUUAAGCUAAUGGAUCAAUGGACUUGUUUACAAUGUGAUAUUUUCUAUUAAAUUUAAUAUUUUCAAAUA
RNA transcript from Mus musculus (house mouse), 2065 nucleotides. It is a transcript of the gene named predicted pseudogene 8615, with no coding region annotated. The record is from RefSeq and is marked validated. Lineage: Eukaryota; Metazoa; Chordata; Mammalia; Rodentia; Muridae. The transcript has a single exon.